RNAcentral lists this ribosomal RNA (429 nucleotides) under Chloroflexota bacterium. Its description in RNAcentral is "Chloroflexi bacterium partial 16S ribosomal RNA". It matches the Rfam family "Bacterial small subunit ribosomal RNA", at positions 355 to 776 of the family's 1533-position model. The record is from RNAcentral. Lineage: Bacteria; Bacillati; Chloroflexota.
UGGGGAAUAUUGCACAAUGGGCGCAAGCCUGAUGCAGCCAUGCCGCGUGUGUGAAGAAGGCCUUCGGGUUGUAAAGCACUUUCAGCGGGGAGGAAGGCGUUAAGGUUAAUAACCUUGGCGAUUGACGUUACCCGCAGAAGAAGCACCGGCUAACUCCGUGCCAGCAGCCGCGGUAAUACGGAGGGUGCAAGCGUUAAUCGGAAUUACUGGGCGUAAAGCGCACGCAGGCGGUCUGUCAAGUCGGAUGUGAAAUCCCCGGGCUCAACCUGGGAACUGCAUUCGAAACUGGCAGGCUAGAGUCUUGUAGAGGGGGGUAGAAUUCCAGGUGUAGCGGUGAAAUGCGUAGAGAUCUGGAGGAACACCGGUGGCGAAGGCGGCCCCCUGGACGAAGACUGACGCUCAGGUGCGAAAGCGUGGGGAGCAAACAGG